Molecule: ribosomal RNA, 1913 nt
Filed under: Bacillus safensis
Lineage: Bacteria; Bacillati; Bacillota; Bacilli; Caryophanales; Bacillaceae
Description: bacterial LSU rRNA
Rfam family: Bacterial large subunit ribosomal RNA
Source: RNAcentral
GGUUAAGUUAGAAAGGGCGCACGGUGGAUGCCUUGGCACUAGGAGCCGAUGAAGGACGGGACGAACACCGAUAUGCUUCGGGGAGCUGUAAGCAAGCUUUGAUCCGGAGAUUUCCGAAUGGGGAAACCCACUGCUCGUAAUGGAGUAGUAUCCAUACUUGAAUACAUAGAGUAUGAGAAGGCAUACCCGGGGAACUGAAACAUCUAAGUACCCGGAGGAAGAGAAAGCAAAUGCGAUUCCCUGAGUAGCGGCGAGCGAAACGGGAACAGCCCAAACCAAGAGGCUUGCCUCUUGGGGUUGUAGGACACUCUAUACGGAGUUACAAAGGAAUGAUAUAAGCGAAGAGGUCUGGAAAGGCCCGCCAAAGAAGGUAACAGCCCUGUAACUGAAAUGUUAUUCUCUCCAGAGUGGAUCCUGAGUACGGCGGAACACGUGAAAUUCCGUCGGAAUCCGGGAGGACCAUCUCCCAAGGCUAAAUACUCCCUAGUGACCGAUAGUGAACCAGUACCGUGAGGGAAAGGUGAAAAGCACCCCGGAAGGGGAGUGAAAUAGAUCCUGAAACCGUGUGCCUACAAGUAGUCAGAGCCCGUUAACGGGUGAUGGCGUGCCUUUUGUAGAAUGAACCGGCGAGUUACGAUCCCGUGCAAGGUUAAGCAGAAGAUGCGGAGCCGCAGCGAAAGCGAGUCUGAAUAGGGCGCAUGAGUACGUGGUCGUAGACCCGAAACCAGGUGAUCUACCCAUGUCCAGGGUGAAGUUCAGGUAACACUGAAUGGAGGCCCGAACCCACGCACGUUGAAAAGUGCGGGGAUGAGGUGUGGGUAGGGGUGAAAUGCCAAUCGAACCUGGAGAUAGCUGGUUCUCUCCGAAAUAGCUUUAGGGCUAGCCUCAAGGUAAGAGUCUCGGAGGUAGAGCACUGAUUGGACUAGGGGCCCCUACCGGGUUACCGAAUUCAGUCAAACUCCGAAUGCCGAUGACUUAUCCUUGGGAGUCAGACUGCGAGUGAUAAGAUCCGUAGUCGAAAGGGAAACAGCCCAGACCGCCAGCUAAGGUCCCAAAGUAUACGUUAAGUGGAAAAGGAUGUGGAGUUGCUUAGACAACCAGGAUGUUGGCUUAGAAGCAGCCACCAUUUAAAGAGUGCGUAAUAGCUCACUGGUCGAGUGACUCUGCGCCGAAAAUGUACCGGGGCUAAACGUAUCACCGAAGCUGCGGACUGUUCUGACGAACAGUGGUAGGAGAGCGUUCUAAGGGCUGUGAAGCCAGACCGGAAGGACUGGUGGAGCGCUUAGAAGUGAGAAUGCCGGUAUGAGUAGCGAAAGACGGGUGAGAAUCCCGUCCACCGAAUGCCUAAGGUUUCCUGAGGAAGGCUCGUCCGCUCAGGGUUAGUCGGGACCUAAGCCGAGGCCGAAAGGCGUAGGCGAUGGACAACAGGUUGAUAUUCCUGUACCACCUCCUCACCAUUUGAGCAAUGGGGGGACGCAGGAGGAUAGGGUAAGCGCGGUAUUGGAUAUCCGCGUCCAAGCAGUUAGGCUGGGAAAUAGGCAAAUCCGUUUCCCGUAAAGGCUGAGCUGUGAUGGCGAGCGAAAUUUAGUAGCGAAGUUCCUGAUUCCACACUGCCAAGAAAAGCCUCUAGCGAGGUGAGAGGUGCCCGUACCGCAAACCGACACAGGUAGGCGAGGAGAGAAUCCUAAGGUGAUCGAGAGAACUCUCGUUAAGGAACUCGGCAAAAUGACCCCGUAACUUCGGGAGAAGGGGUGCUUCUUAGGGUGUUAAAGCCCCGAGAAGCCGCAGUGAAUAGGCCCAGGCGACUGUUUAGCAAAAACACAGGUCUCUGCGAAGCCGUAAGGCGAAGUAUAGGGGCUGACGCCUGCCCGGUGCUGGAAGGUUAAGAGGAGCGCUUAGCGUAAGCGAAGGUG